RNAcentral lists this ribosomal RNA (821 nucleotides) under Tiraspirus tabulatus. RNAcentral's name for it is "partial large subunit ribosomal RNA". It matches the Rfam family "Eukaryotic large subunit ribosomal RNA", at positions 663 to 1265 of the family's 3401-position model. The record is from RNAcentral. Lineage: Eukaryota; Metazoa; Arthropoda; Insecta; Coleoptera; Staphylinidae.
GGACCAAGGAGUCCAGCGAACGAGCAUGACGCAAAGGUUCAUUCCAAAUUGAAUCCGUCAAACUUAACGAAAGCAAUUAAGGGGCGCGCGCGCGCGCGCGCGCUCUAUCAUCAUCUUUUUGAUGAAUUGAGUAGACGCGCGCGCGCGUAGUAGACCUCUAGUUUGUAUGAUGAGACGUAUAAUCGAAAAAUUGUAAAAAAUUUUUCGAUUGUUCUAUUGAUUUAGUUGAUAGAACAGCGUCUAGGCAAAUCGGAGAUGGCAAUUUUCGUAGCGUUGCUAGGGCAGCAAUGCCAUAGCGGCGUUGCGUGCCGUACUCGUAGCUCGUGCUCUGGAACCCGAAAGAUGGUGAACUAUGCAUGGAAAGGAUGAAGCCAGGGGAAACUCUGGUGGAGGUCCGCAAUGGUUCUGACGUGCAAAUCGAUCAUCAGAACUAUGUAUAGGGGCGAAAGACCAAUCGAACCAUCUAGUAGCUGGUUCCUUUCGAAGUUUCCCUAAGGAUAGCUGAGGUCUGGCGAGACGAGAUAGUCACAUGCGGUAAAGCGAAUGAUUAGAGUCGUUGGGUUCGAAACGUUCUCAACCUAUUCUCAAACUGUUAAUGUGUGUGUUUUCCGUUAGCUAGCAUAUGUGUGCUCAUAUAUAAACGGACGCGGAGUAGCAAACGGAUAGAUAGUGAAGGCCUUCAGUGGGCCAUUUUUGGUAAGCAGAACUGGCGAUGCGGGAUGAACCGGUCGUAAAGUUAUAGUGCCAAAAUCAACGCAUAUCGGACCCCACAAAAGGCGUUAGUAACUAAAGACAGCGGGACGGUGGCCAUGGAAGUCGGC